This 74-nucleotide transfer RNA is filed under the name Podarcis lilfordi (Lilford's wall lizard). It matches the Rfam family "tRNA". From Rfam's summary of the family: Transfer RNA (tRNA) molecules are approximately 80 nucleotides in length. Their secondary structure includes four short double-helical elements and three loops (D, anti-codon, and T loops). Further hydrogen bonds mediate the characteristic L-shaped molecular structure. tRNAs have two regions of fundamental functional importance: the anti-codon, which is responsible for specific mRNA codon recognition, and the 3' end, to which the tRNAs corresponding amino acid is attached (by aminoacyl-tRNA synthetases). tRNAs cope with the degeneracy of the genetic code in two manners: having more than one tRNA (with a specific anti-codon) for a particular amino acid; and 'wobble' base-pairing, i.e. permitting non-standard base-pairing at the 3rd anti-codon position. Lineage: Eukaryota; Metazoa; Chordata; Lepidosauria; Squamata; Lacertidae. The record is from Rfam by way of RNAcentral.
GUUCCUGUGGUGCAGUGGGUCAGUGAGCCUGGCUGUUAAUCAGAAAGUUGGUGGUUCGAACCCACCCAGGGAUG